This 465-nucleotide ribosomal RNA is filed under the name Vreelandella stevensii. RNAcentral's name for it is "partial 16S ribosomal RNA". It matches the Rfam family "Bacterial small subunit ribosomal RNA", at positions 338 to 795 of the family's 1533-position model. The record is from RNAcentral. Lineage: Bacteria; Pseudomonadati; Pseudomonadota; Gammaproteobacteria; Oceanospirillales; Halomonadaceae.
CCUACGGGUGGCAGCAGUGGGGAAUAUUGGACAAUGGGCGAAAGCCUGAUCCAGCCAUGCCGCGUGUGUGAAGAAGGCCUUCGGGUUGUAAAGCACUUUCAGUGGGGAAGAAAGCCUUGGGGCUAAUACCCUCGAGGAAGGACAUCACCCACAGAAGAAGCACCGGCUAACUCCGUGCCAGCAGCCGCGGUAAUACGGAGGGUGCGAGCGUUAAUCGGAAUUACUGGGCGUAAAGCGCGCGUAGGCGGUCUGAUAAGCCGGUUGUGAAAGCCCCGGGCUCAACCUGGGAACGGCAUCCGGAACUGUCAGGCUAGAGUGCAGGAGAGGAAGGUAGAAUUCCCGGUGUAGCGGUGAAAUGCGUAGAGAUCGGGAGGAAUACCAGUGGCGAAGGCGGCCUUCUGGACUGACACUGACGCUGAGGUGCGAAAGCGUGGGUAGCAAACAGAAUUAGAUACCCGAGUAGUC